Molecule: long non-coding RNA, 3633 nt
Organism: Oreochromis aureus
Lineage: Eukaryota; Metazoa; Chordata; Actinopteri; Cichliformes; Cichlidae
Exons: 3
Source: RefSeq, a predicted model, not a curated record
UGUUGGCAAAAACACAAAACAUGAACUAAACAAUGACUACAGCGAACCAAAACACACAGACACAAUCUGAGGGUACAACACGACAAUGGCACAGAGAAACACGGGGCUUAAAUACACUGAGGAAGUCAUCAAGGAUCUCCCAGGAUACACAGACACACACACACACUUCUUUUCCACCCACAUGGUGCUGAUGGAAAAUCAGUUCCUACUUCUAAAACCAGCCAACAUUUUAUUGGUUAUUAUGAAACAUCACUAACAGACUGUUUUAAUCUUCACGAGAAUCUCCAUUACAUAGAAACUACAACAGUGUCAGCGUCGGCAGAGGUAGUAAGGGAUUGUUGUUGCCUUUGUUAUUAUCCGCUUCUUUGGAGACACACAUAAAACUUCAAUAACUGAAAACAUAAAAUAGAUCUGGACACAGAUGAGGGUCUGUAAGGAUUUUCAGUGUUUUAUUUCUGAGCUGGAUUCCUUCAAUGUAGCUAAACCAACAGGAAGACUUUGAUCAAUAAUGGAUUAACAGAAUGUUGAGAGCAUCAAAUGAGCACUAAUAAUAAAAAAGAAUAUUAAUAAUGUUUGCAGUCUGAAGCUGUUGCACUUUGUCAGGUUUGGUUUUCACUUCUUUUGUUUGGGAUCAAAUUAAAAUUAUUCAGGAAUCAAGCAGGUGUGGCUACUAACCUGUCAUACCGGUCCAUGUUGUGACAUAAAACGGCUACAGGGAACUACAGGUGCAUUUCCUGAUAUGUGGCUGUAAGGUAACGUGGUAACGUCCACUUUACCUUUAGAUUUUUAACUUAUGUUUUAUCUUUUGACUUUUAAUUCAUGAACUUUUUACCUUUUAAAAUCUUUUUUUUGCUCGAGUAGAAUACAAUAUAAUGAGGUUCCAUUUGACCCACUGAAAAAGAAGACAGGAGUAUACUGACCUUGAAUGUUUUUAUCUUUGUGGAUAAUUUUUUCAUCAUGACGAUCAGAAGACUUUUUGAGGGUUUCACAGAUGCCAUCAGAACGACAACCAGAAAAUCAUCACCGCUGAGUCUGGACAGAACAUCACUCUGCCAUGUCGAGCUCCAAACAACAACAUCAUAGUUGUAAAGUGGAGCAGAGCUGACCUGAAGCCACAAUAUGUGCUUUUGUUCCAGAUGACCAGCAUCCAUCAUUUAAGAACCGGGUGGAUCUGCAGGACAGACAGAUGAAGGAUGGAGACGUGUCUUUGAUUCUGAAGAAUGUGACGACUGCUGAUAAUGGGACAUACGAGUGCCAUGUCGUCCAGGGAGUCAAACAACCUUUGAAGCUCAUCACCAGCUUCUACCUGAGUGUUGUUGUUCCUCCAGGUCAGACAGGAGGACAACCAGGGGAUGGACCUGUUGGACUGAUAGUUGCUCUGAGUGUUUCUGCUGUGCUUCUUGUUGCUGUUGUUGGUUUUUGAUAUACAUAAAACAUAAAAAGACAGAGAGUCAUGUCUCACACAGGCCUGCUGUUGAUCAGCAGCUGUUUGAAACAUCAGACUGAUCUAGUGAUGUUUUCUGUGUUGUUGGAGAAGUAGAAACAAAGAAACAAUAGACAAAAAUGCAUGAUGCUAAACAUCAAUCAAACAUGUUCACAAUUAACAUUACAACUGUAAAAUAAGAAUAACCACAGACAAACAGCAGCAGACAUAUUUACUUCACCAUUCAUUCCCCUACCAGGCCUAACCUAAGUCUCAGCUAAUAUCCUGUAAUCAGUAUUGGGACACUCAAAAAAGUAAUAUACUGCACAUUAGUCAUCAUCUUUCCUUGAUUUCAUACCGAAGAAAGUAAUUUGUUACAUCUGUUUUGCAUUACUCUGCAAAAUGACCUGGAACUCAUUGUCUAAAAGUGAUAAGUUAAAAAUAUAAACCUGAGGAUAAAAUGAGGAUAAGAUGAAAUUAGCUGAUUGCAUCACAGGUUCUCAUAACAAAAAUAACAUAUGAAUUUUUUUGUUCUCUUCUGCCUGUCCAACAUGUGUGCAGAUUAAUGACCUCUUGUAGUAACAACAAAUAAUGUAAUUACUGAAUUUAGUACGGUCACAUGUUACAUUACUGAUUUACAGAAAAAUGCACUGUGAUUACUUUAAUGCAUUACUUUGGAACACCGAGCACUGGCUGUAACUGAGGGAUAGAUAACCAAGAAGCUAAAACAAACAUUUCAAUCCAUUGCAAAUGACCACAGCAGAUCUUUUCAAGCUCUGCAAUCAAUCUACACACUGCAAACAAAUUGAGUCAUGAUAUUACUAAAGGCUUUUACACAUAGAGUGAAUUGCGGAAAAGAAAACAUGAAAAUGAACUAAUGUCCACAUCAAGCACUAUGAGCUGGUCUUGAUGUUUCAAAACAAUAAGAGGAAGAAACUUAACAGUUUUGAAAACACUAACUACAACUAAAACAGUAACACAAAUAUCAUGCACAUGUGAACACACCGAAAUAUCCAAAGACACAUGUUAAAUGAAGAACCUUUUGGACCCACCUUUAAAAGAACAAACAGUAAAAACCCACCACAACAAAUCAAACCCACUCCCACCAGAGUGAGACCAUCACCUCCUGAAGUUUCCACAGAACAACAAAACCUGUUUGCCAAGAACACAGCAGAGAGCAGAAAUCUGCACCACUUACAUCACAUUUCUGUGAUUAUCAUCAAACCUGUUCAGACUGUGUUAGUGUUUCUCUGUUCUCUCUGUGAAUUACAGUGUUUGUUCGUCUUCAGUAUUUUCAUGGAUCUGUUUUAUAUAAUCUCAGUAAUUUUGCUUCUGUGUACUGUAUGUAAAAAGUAAUACUAAUUAUAAAACAGCAGCUGUUUGUAAGAUCAAACAUGUUGUGUGAGGUUUGGACAGCACAAACUGAUCCUCAUGCAGAGAUCAGAUGUUACAGUAUAUCUACAGACACUCACUGAACCAAAAGUAUAAACACCGUAGAAGAGGCCUUUUAGAUUAUAGAUAAUCAGUCAUCUGUUUAAUAGUGUUCGAUUCAUUGAAGGGAUAACACUAAAUGACAUCUAGCUCAUCACACGUUGUUAUUACAGUGUUAUAAACCCAAAGAGCUCAAUAAGUUUCAUAUACCAGCAGAGUCUGAUAUUUCUGAUCCAUAAUGAUUUAACAUUUCCUUCCAUGAACUAAACUCUGCAGUUUGUUAUUUCAUUUCAAGCGCUUUUCGGAUAUUGUGUAUCUUUUUUUAUCUUUUAUAUUAGAUUUUUUUUAAUUAAUGACUAAGGCUUAAUACUGCAUCUGUUACCAUUUCUUAUGUCAGUCUUUAUUAAUAUGUUUGUUUUCUAACAGUUUACAUAAUAUGUCAUUUCACUUGCUAUCAAAACUACUAUCACUAUACAAUCUAUAAUCUAUUUAAUCACUACAUUAAAUAUACUGCAUUAGCACUAUUGCUGUAUUUAGACAGUUAUAAAACAUUUAAAAGCUUAUAUGUUGUGUUAAUGUGCUUGGUAUUUUUUGCUGUGCGCUGUGUUUGAGAUCCUUUUUCUAAGCCUUUCUGCACAACCAGCAUGUAUUCUGUUUUCAUCCAGACAAUAAACUGCAGCACUAAAAGAUAAAAAAAAAUGUAUGUUGUUUAUCUAAAAAUAAAAAACUCACUUUGCAUAACAUAAUAAUGAAAAAGCAGUACUGUAACAGGUAACCCU